This 324-nucleotide unclassified non-coding RNA is filed under the name Hevea brasiliensis (rubber tree). The record is from RNAcentral. Lineage: Eukaryota; Viridiplantae; Streptophyta; Magnoliopsida; Malpighiales; Euphorbiaceae.
GACAUCUUUUUUAACAUUGUACCCUGAAGACUUCAGGAAAGGUGCAAUCUUUGAUUCAAUUUCAUCAAAUCUUUCUUUCGACCACUUCACAGUGGGAUCAUCCAUCUUAUUGACGACCACUAUCAGUUUAGAUACACCCAAUGUCUUCGCAAGUUGGACAUGUUCGCGUGUUUGUCCACCUUUCUCAAAACCCGUUUCAAAUUCACCCUUACGGGCAGAUAUUACCAGGACUCCAAUAUCAGCUUGUGAUGCACCACUAAUCAUGUUUGGAACAUAACUUUUGUGGCCCGGUGCAUCCAAUAUUGUGAAUCUUGUGUUAUCGGU